CCCCUGGGGGUCCCCGCAGUCUCCUGGGGGUCCCCGCAGUCCCCUGGGUGCUGUUGAGGUGUCCCCGUGGUCCCCAGGGUGCUGCUGAGGUCUCUCUGUGGUCUUCAGGGUGCCAGGGAGGUGUCCCCAAUGUCCCUUGGGUGCUGGGGACGUGUCCCCAAGGUCCCCAGGGUGCCAUGGAGGUGUCCCCAAGGUCCCCUGGGUGCUGUUGAGGUGUCCCCAAGGUCCCCAGGGUGCCAGGAGGGUGUCCCCAAGGUUCCUUGGGUGCUGGGGACAUGUCCCCAAGGUCUCCUGGGUGUCUCUGUAGUCUC
This 311-nucleotide long non-coding RNA is filed under the name Anas platyrhynchos platyrhynchos (common mallard). RNAcentral describes it as "lncRNA (ENSAPLG00000016524.1)". Lineage: Eukaryota; Metazoa; Chordata; Aves; Anseriformes; Anatidae. The record is from RNAcentral.